UCAUCAUUGUGGUUACUAUCCUCAGAACUGUUUUCCUGAUUAGAAGACAGAGGUGGCUCCACUAAAAGAAGCCUCUGCUCUGAGCUGUCCUCUUCAAAGGCUGUCUGUGUUGUUGCAGAGUCAGACAUGUGUCCUUUUCUGAGCCGUAGACCUGGCUCUGGAGAACCAGCAUUAUCGAGUUCCGUUAGUUCAUUCAUGAGAUGCUGGGAGCCUUCUCAAAUAUUCUGCUUCCUCUUGAUCCCGUCUGGCUGAUUAUGCGUUGGCUCUGGCAACGCGCGCCCUGGCAACGGCCGGCGCCCGCCCUGGCGCCCGCGAGGU
RNAcentral lists this long non-coding RNA (318 nucleotides) under Gallus gallus (chicken). The record is from RNAcentral. Lineage: Eukaryota; Metazoa; Chordata; Aves; Galliformes; Phasianidae.